GCCGGCGCAGUGGCGUGUGCCUGUAAUCCCAGCUACUCGGGAGGCUGAGGUGGGAGGAUUGCUUGAGCCCAAGAGUUCUGGGCUGUAGUGCGCUAUGCCGAUCGGGUGUCCACACUAAGUUCAACAUCAAUAUGGUGACCUCCCAGGAGUGGGGGACCACCAGGUUGCCUAAGGAGGGGUGAACCGGCCCAGGUCAGAAACCGAGCAGGUGAAAACUCCUGUGCUGGUCAGUAGUGGGAUAAACACCUGUGAACAGCCACUUCACUCCAGCCUAGGCAACAUAGUGAGACCCUGUCUCU
RNAcentral lists this signal recognition particle RNA (299 nucleotides) under Aotus nancymaae (Ma's night monkey). RNAcentral's name for it is "Metazoan signal recognition particle RNA (ENSANAG00000002013.1)". It matches the Rfam family "Metazoan signal recognition particle RNA". Rfam says of the family: The signal recognition particle (SRP) is a universally conserved ribonucleoprotein. It is involved in the co-translational targeting of proteins to membranes. The eukaryotic SRP consists of a 300-nucleotide 7S RNA and six proteins: SRPs 72, 68, 54, 19, 14, and 9. The record is from RNAcentral. Lineage: Eukaryota; Metazoa; Chordata; Mammalia; Primates; Aotidae.